CGAUCGAAUUAUAAUGGUCUGUUUUAAAGAAAUUGACUGUUAGGUCUAUUAAUCAGUCGUUAGGACAAGGGUUCAACUCCCUUAUGCUCCACGUAAUAAUACUUCAACCCUAUGAGAAGAGAACUAGGAUUUUUAAUUGUGUUCUACCGUGCGCCAAGUUCUUAAAUCUUAGAACGGUAGAUACGGGGCAUUAUGGUUUUGACUGCGACAAUGAGAGAUAGAAUAGGUCAAUAAUGCGAAUAACUGGCAAUACAAGUUAUGUAACAGACUAUACACGCUUAGUAGCGUGAUAAGUCUGAACGGCUAAGCUAAUGUCGUAAAAAGCGGGAGUAAGUGACUUAGGACUGUAGGGGUUCGAAUCCCCACUUACUACAAUUAAAU
This 381-nucleotide non-coding RNA is filed under the name uncultured phage cr52_1. The record is from RNAcentral. Lineage: Duplodnaviria; Heunggongvirae; Uroviricota; Caudoviricetes; Crassvirales; Suoliviridae.